ACUCUAUUGAGGCCCCGUAAUUGGAAUGAGUACAAUUUAAAUCCUUUAACGAGGAUCUAUUGGAGGGCAAGUCUGGUGCCAGCAGCCGCGGUAAUUCCAGCUCCAAUAGCGUAUAUUAAAGUUGCUGCGGUUAAAAAGCUCGUAGUUGGAUUUCAGUCGAACCUAUGGGGUCCACUGAUUAAAGGGUUAGAUGGUGAUGUUAGGUUUCUUGCUUGUGUCUACGGAUGCUAGCUUGAACCUUCAUUCCUCUUUCCUGGUGGUUACAUUCAUAGUGUUUAGACAGAAAAUUGCUCGAUAUUUGCUAUCAAUGCUCUUUACCGAGUGUUGAUUCAAGCGAUCGAGACUUUUACCUUGAAAAAAUCAGAGUGCUCAAAGCAGGCGUCCAAAACCUCGAAAGAGGUGCCUAAAAACGGUAUGGUCAACCAUCUAUAUGAUGCGUACCACUACCUUAACUUGAAUGAUCUGCAUGGAAUAAUGGAAUAGGACCUUGGUUCUAUUUUGUUGGUCUUAAGAAUCCAAGGUAAUGAUUAAGAGGGACAGACGGGGGCAUUUGUAUUGCGGCGCUAGAGGUGAAAUUCUUGGACCGUCGCAAGACAAACUACAGCGAAAGCAUUUGCCAAGAAUGUUUUCAUUAAUCAAGAACGAAAGUUAGAGGUUCGAAGGCGAUCAGAUACCGCCCUAGUUCUAACCAUAAACGAUGCCAACCAGCGAUCAUUCUGAGUAACUAAUUUCAUGACUCGAAUGGAAGCUUCCGGGAAACCAAAGUUUUUGGGUUCCGGGGGAAGUAUGGUGCAAAGCUGAAACUUAAAGGAAUUGACGGAAGGGCACCACCAGGAGUGGAGCUUGCGGCUUAAUUGACUCAACACGGGAAAACUCACCCGGCCCGGACACUGAGAGGAUUGACAGAUUGAGAGCUCUUUCUUGAUUCAGUGGGUGGUGGUGCAUGGCCGUUCUUAGUUGGUGGAGUGAUUUGUCUGGUUAAUUCCGAUAACGAACGAGACUCUAGCCUACUAAAUAGACUUGCAGUUUACACUGCAGUACUCCCCCUUAGUCAACCUGUGGGUGGUAGUAUCUCUUGAUGGUUUCGGCUGUUGAGGGCUCUGCUGCUAUUAGCCUACAGAAUUGGCUAGGGUAAGGAUGCUGUAGCACUGUAAGGACUUCUUAGAGGGACAAGCGGCGCUCGCAGCCGCACGAAACAGAGCAAUAACAGGUCUGUGAUGCCCUUAGAUGUCCGGGGCCGCACGCGUGCUACACUGAAGUGGUCAUCGUGCAUACUGUUCCUGCUCCGAAAGGAGUGGGUAACCGCUUGAACCCAUUUCGUGAUGGGGAUUGGGCAUUGUAAUUAUUGCCCAUGAACGAGGAAUUCCCAGUAAGCGUGAGUCAUUAGCUUGCGUUGAUUACGUCCCUGCCCUUUGUACACACCGCCCGUCGCUACUACCGAUUGAAUGAUUUAGUGAGGACUUCGGACUGGUCAAUCCAGACCAUUGGGAAACUAGUGGUCGGAUUGUGCUGGAAAGAUGUUCAAACUUGAUCAUUUAGAGGAAGUAAAAGUCGUAACAAGGUUUCCGUAGGUGAACCUGCGGAAG
This 1586-nucleotide ribosomal RNA is filed under the name Tetranychus urticae (two-spotted spider mite). RNAcentral's name for it is "SSU rRNA". It matches the Rfam family "Eukaryotic small subunit ribosomal RNA", at positions 490 to 1823 of the family's 1831-position model. The record is from RNAcentral. Lineage: Eukaryota; Metazoa; Arthropoda; Arachnida; Trombidiformes; Tetranychidae.